UUUAAUUGAAGAGUUUGAUCAUGGCUCAGAUUGAACGCUGGCGGCAG
Molecule: ribosomal RNA, 47 nt
Filed under: Pragia fontium DSM 5563 = ATCC 49100
Lineage: Bacteria; Pseudomonadati; Pseudomonadota; Gammaproteobacteria; Enterobacterales; Budviciaceae
Description: 16S rRNA. Bacterial SSU
Source: RNAcentral